Molecule: ribosomal RNA, 464 nt
Filed under: uncultured bacterium
Lineage: Bacteria
Description: partial 16S ribosomal RNA
Rfam family: Bacterial small subunit ribosomal RNA
Source: RNAcentral
GACGAACGCUGGCGGCGUGCUUAACACAUGCAAGUCGAACGGAAAGGCCCUGCUUGCAGGGUACUCGCGUGGCGAACGGGUGAGUAACACGUGGGUGAUCUGCCCUGCACUUCGGGAUAAGCAUGGGAAAGUGGGUCUAAUAACGGCUAGGUGCCAUAUUUAGUGGGAUGGUUGGAAAGUUUUUUCGGUGUUGGAUGAGCGCGCGGCCUAUCAGCUUGUUGGUGAGGUAAUGGCCUACCAAGGCGGCGACGGGUAGCCGGCCUGAGAGGGUGGACGGCCACAUUGGGACUGAGAGACGGCCCAGACUCCUACGGGAGGCAGCAGUGGGGAAUAUUGCACAAUGGGCGCAAGCCUGAUGCAGCGGCGCCGCGUGGGUGAUGACGGCCUUCGGGUUGUAAACUCCUUUCGCUAGGGACGAAGCUGUUGUGACGGUACCUAGAUAAGAAGCACCGGCUAACUACGUG